Small nuclear RNA from Ochotona curzoniae (black-lipped pika), 104 nucleotides. The record is from RefSeq and is a predicted model, not a curated record. NCBI's taxonomy places the organism in Eukaryota, Metazoa, Chordata, Mammalia, Lagomorpha, Ochotonidae.
UUGCUUCAGCAGCACAUACACUAAAAUUGGAACAAUACAGAGAAGAUUAGCAUGCCCCAUGUGCAAGGAUGUGCAAAUUCAUGAAAAAAAUACUUUAAAAAAUG